RNAcentral lists this ribosomal RNA (253 nucleotides) under uncultured bacterium. RNAcentral's name for it is "partial 16S ribosomal RNA". It matches the Rfam family "Bacterial small subunit ribosomal RNA", at positions 524 to 776 of the family's 1533-position model. The record is from RNAcentral.
UACGUAGGGUGCAAGCGUUGUCCGGAAUUAUUGGGCGUAAAGAGCGUGUAGGCGGCCUGGCAAGUCUGCUGUGAAAACUCGAGGCUCAACCUCGAGAUGGCGGCGGAAACCGUCUGGCUAGAGUCCGGAAGAGGAGAGUGGAAUUCCUGGUGUAGCGGUGAGAUGCGCAGAUAUCAGGAAGAACACCGAUGGCGAAGGCAGCUCUCUGGGACGGUACUGACGCUGAGACGCGAAAGCGUGGGGAGCGAACAGG